Molecule: ribosomal RNA, 275 nt
Filed under: uncultured Flavobacterium sp.
Lineage: Bacteria; Pseudomonadati; Bacteroidota; Flavobacteriia; Flavobacteriales; Flavobacteriaceae
Description: partial 16S ribosomal RNA
Rfam family: Bacterial small subunit ribosomal RNA
Source: RNAcentral
CCUACGGGUGGCUGCAGUGAGGAAUAUUGGUCAAUGGGCGAAAGCCUGAACCAGCCAUGCCGCGUGCAGGAUGAAGCAUCUAUGGUGUGUAAACUGCUUUUGUACGGGAAGAAACACCCCUUCGUGAAGGGGCUUGACGGUACCGUAAGAAUAAGGAUCGGCUAACUCCGUGCCAGCAGCCGCGGUAAUACGGAGGAUCCAAGCGUUAUCCGGAAUCAUUGGGUUUAAAGGGUCCGUAGGCGGUUUUAUAAGUCAGUGGUGAAAUCCGGCAGCUC